This 1500-nucleotide ribosomal RNA is filed under the name uncultured bacterium. Its description in RNAcentral is "bacterial SSU rRNA". It matches the Rfam family "Bacterial small subunit ribosomal RNA". The record is from RNAcentral.
GACGAACGCUGGCGGCGUGCCUAAUACAUGCAAGUAGAACGCUGAAGAGAGGAGCUUGCUCUUCUUGGAUGAGUUGCGAACGGGUGAGUAACGCGUAGGUAACCUGCCUUGUAGCGGGGGAUAACUAUUGGAAACGAUAGCUAAUACCGCAUAACAAUGGAUGACACAUGUCAUUUAUUUGAAAGGGGCAAUUGCUCCACUACAAGAUGGACCUGCGUUGUAUUAGCUAGUAGGUGAGGUAAUGGCUCACCUAGGCGACGAUACAUAGCCGACCUGAGAGGGUGAUCGGCCACACUGGGACUGAGACACGGCCCAGACUCCUACGGGAGGCAGCAGUAGGGAAUCUUCGGCAAUGGGGGCAACCCUGACCGAGCAACGCCGCGUGAGUGAAGAAGGUUUUCGGAUCGUAAAGCUCUGUUGUAAGUCAAGAACGGGUGUGAGAGUGGAAAGUUCACACUGUGACGGUAGCUUACCAGAAAGGGACGGCUAACUACGUGCCAGCAGCCGCGGUAAUACGUAGGUCCCGAGCGUUGUCCGGAUUUAUUGGGCGUAAAGCGAGCGCAGGCGGUUUGAUAAGUCUGAAGUUAUAGGCUGUGGCUCAACCAUAGUUCGCUUUGGAAACUGUCAAACUUGAGUGCAGAAGGGGAGAGUGGAAUUCCAUGUGUAGCGGUGAAAUGCGUAGAUAUAUGGAGGAACACCGGUGGCGAAAGCGGCCCUCUGGUCUGUAACUGACGCUGAGGCUCGAAAGCGUGGGGAGCGAACAGGAUUAGAUACCCUGGUAGUCCACGCCGUAAACGAUGAGUGCUAGGUGUUGGAUCCUUUCCGGGAUUCAGUGCCGCAGCUAACGCAUUAAGCACUCCGCCUGGGGAGUACGACCGCAAGGUUGAAACUCAAAGGAAUUGACGGGGGCCCGCACAAGCGGUGGAGCAUGUGGUUUAAUUCGAAGCAACGCGAAGAACCUUACCAGGUCUUGACAUCCCGAUGCUAUUUCUAGAGAUAGAAAGUUACUUCGGUACAUCGGUGACAGGUGGUGCAUGGUUGUCGUCAGCUCGUGUCGUGAGAUGUUGGGUUAAGUCCCGCAACGAGCGCAACCCCUAUUGUUAGUUGCCAUCAUUCAGUUGGGCACUCUAGCGAGGCUGCCGGUAAUAAACCGGAGGAAGGUGGGGAUGACGUCAAAUCAUCAUGCCCCUUAUGACCUGGGCUACACACGUGCUACAAUGGUUGGUACAACGAGUUGCGAGUCGGUGACGGCGAGCUAAUCUCUUAAAGCCAAUCUCAGUUCGGAUUGUAGGCUGCAACUCGCCUACAUGAAGUCGGAAUCGCUAGUAAUCGCGGAUCAGCACGCCGCGGUGAAUACGUUCCCGGGCCUUGUACACACCGCCCGUCACACCACGAGAGUUUGUAACACCCGAAGUCGGUGAGGUAACCUUUUGGAGCCAGCCGCCUAAGGUGGGACAGAUGAUUGGGGUGAAGUCGUAACAAGGUAGCCGUAUCGGAAGG